This 345-nucleotide RNase P RNA is filed under the name Bacilli bacterium. Its description in RNAcentral is "RNase P RNA component class B". It matches the Rfam family "Bacterial RNase P class B". From Rfam's summary of the family: Ribonuclease P (RNase P) is a ubiquitous endoribonuclease, found in archaea, bacteria and eukarya as well as chloroplasts and mitochondria. The record is from RNAcentral. Lineage: Bacteria; Bacillati; Bacillota; Bacilli.
AAAUUGAGACAAUCGCUGCUAUUUUAGAUAGUAGAGGAAAGUCCAUGCUCUUACAUUCUGUGAUGAAUGUAGUGAUUGUGCUAGGUGAAAAAAUAAAUCUAGGCUACUAUGGUAGAUGGCUGGUUAAGUCCUAAGUUUUUUAAUAUGGAUAAAACCUUUAAAAGUGCCACAGAGACGAGUUAAUAAGGAAACUUAUUAAGUGGAACGGGUAAACCCCACAAAAGAGCAACCCAAAUUAUGGUAGGGGCACUUGAAUAAACUAAACGAAGUUAUAUUCAGGAUACAUUAGUAUAGAUAAAUGAUUGUCGCUCUAAAUAUAUAGAGAACAGAACAUGGCUUAUGAUA